UCCACAUUGUGGCCUAAAUCUGUU
RNAcentral lists this non-coding RNA (24 nucleotides) under Arabidopsis thaliana (thale cress). Lineage: Eukaryota; Viridiplantae; Streptophyta; Magnoliopsida; Brassicales; Brassicaceae. The record is from RNAcentral.